GAUCCGGCGGGACCGCCACCUAUCACUGCUGCUCGGAGCUUUCGGCCGGAGAUGGAUUUGGAAGCUGAGACGGUGAAGGAUUUGAAGUAAGGUUUGGGUUUUGAGGUUGGAAUGGAGAAUGAAGGUAAACCAAAACUGGUUUGAAUUUUGGCAGCCAUGGAGAAUGACGAAAUGAGUUUGGAAUCAGUACCUGUAAAUUAGGAAUUAGGGUUUAUCACUUUACUCCUCCAAGAAUAUAGUAUUUUAAUGCAUACUUUAAAUCGAUUUCAGAGGUAAAUACAAAUGAUGUCAGCACCAGAUUCCAUCAUGGUAUGGCAUUGUAAUAAAAAAUUGUUUUCAAGAUAUACGGUCCUAUUUCUUUAUCUUUCCACUACAGGUGGGGUUAGCAUCAGCUUUGCAAGUUGUGUGUUUGAUUUUUUACUGCUAUGCAUGUGUUCAAACAGAGUGUAUAUAUCACAGCUACUUCUAAGUGUUCUGAAACUUUAGUAAGUUUUAUAACAUGAUCAAUAGGAAAUGCUAGACUUUGAUGCUAGCUAGUUCAUGGAUACUGAUAGGGCGACAAAGAUCAGGAAUUGUUUGGCCAGACCAGGCUGCAUCAGCUAGGAUUUUGUUAACUGCUUGUGUAGGGUUAAACAAAUCCCACCAAACAUGAGUUGAAGCUUGAUCACAGGCCAUGUCCAUGGAGAUGCAC
RNAcentral lists this long non-coding RNA (691 nucleotides) under Vigna radiata. Its description in RNAcentral is "long non-coding RNA (VRAD_LNC004421)". The record is from RNAcentral. Lineage: Eukaryota; Viridiplantae; Streptophyta; Magnoliopsida; Fabales; Fabaceae.